Long non-coding RNA from Dendroctonus ponderosae (mountain pine beetle), 483 nucleotides. RefSeq lists it as uncharacterized. NCBI's taxonomy places the organism in Eukaryota, Metazoa, Arthropoda, Insecta, Coleoptera, Curculionidae. The record is from RefSeq and is a predicted model, not a curated record. The transcript has 2 exons.
UCUCACGUAAAACGCCAUGUUCAACCAAGCUGAAAAUUCAUUUACUAUGCUCAGAUUAUUAUCUGCCUAAUGAAAUACGGUAACAAGUUAGAUGAAAACUGUGCUUUCCGCAUUUGCCUUCGAAAAUAAUAAGUAAGUAAGUGAAAUUAGUCGCUAAAGACAAAUGUUUAAUGGAUACUAAUUUUGCCAUCAACAAGUGUAAACGUUAAUGCUAUAGGAGAUAUAAGGAUUCAAGAUGAAGAACCUUGCAAGACGAGCCAUUGUAAAUAAGGACUGUCAACAGCAGCCAUCAAAUAGUGGUAAUUACGCUUAAUUACUCUACUAUAACGCAUCCUCCGAGACGAGAUAAAACGAUAUAUUUGGGGCAAUGCGAGGAACAAGAAAAUCAGCUUUGCUGCCGAUCGCUUCACUUGUGUCAGCUCAAAAUCAAGCUAUAUUGGCUUGUAAUACUUUGUCAGACAAUAAUAAAUAGGUGUAUCAGGA